RNAcentral lists this unclassified non-coding RNA (329 nucleotides) under soil metagenome. RNAcentral describes it as "partial contains 5.8S ribosomal RNA, internal transcribed spacer 2, and large subunit ribosomal RNA". The stretch from base 1 to 120 matches the Rfam family "5.8S ribosomal RNA", at positions 35 to 154 of the family's 154-position model. The record is from RNAcentral.
GAUGAAGAACGUAGCGAAAUGCGAUAAGUAAUGUGAAUUGCAGAAUUCAGUGAAUCAUCGAAUCUUUGAACGCACAUUGCGCCCUCUGGUAUUCCGGGGGACAUGCCUGUUCGAGCGUCAUUAUAACCACUCAAGCUCUCGCUUGGUAUUGGGGCUCGCGGUUCCGCGGCCCCUAAAAUCAGUGGCGGUGCCUGUCGGCUCUACGCGUAGUAAUACUCCUCGCGAUUGAGUCCGGUAGGUCUACUUGCCAGCAACCCCCAAUUUUUACAGGUUGACCUCGGAUCAGGUAGGGAUACCCGCUGAACUUAAGCAUAUCAAUAAGCGGAGGA